AGAACGAACGCUGGCGGCAGGCCUAACACAUGCAAGUCGAACGCUCCAGCAAUGGAGAGUGGCAGACGGGUGAGUAACACGUGGGAACCUUCCCUAUGGUUCGGAAUAGCUCAGGGAAACUUGAGGUAAUACCGGAUAAGCCCUUCGGGGGAAAGAUUUAUCGCCAUUGGAUGGGCCCGCGUCGGAUUAGCUAGUUGGUGGGUAACGGCCUACCAAGGCAACGAUCCGUAGCUGGUCUGAGAGGAUGAUCAGCCACACUGGGACUGAGACACGGCCCAGACUCCUACGGGAGCAGCAGUGGGAAUAUUGGACAAGUGGGCGCAAGCCUGAUCCAGCCAUGCCGCGUGAGUGAGAAGGUCUCGGAUUAGUAAAUCUUUGGCGGGGACGAUAAUGACGGUACCGCAGAAUAACGCCCGCUAACUCGUGCCAGACACGCCGC
This 439-nucleotide ribosomal RNA is filed under the name uncultured soil bacterium. Its description in RNAcentral is "bacterial SSU rRNA". It matches the Rfam family "Bacterial small subunit ribosomal RNA", at positions 26 to 520 of the family's 1533-position model. The record is from RNAcentral.